Microtus ochrogaster (prairie vole) is the source of this 372-nucleotide long non-coding RNA. RefSeq lists it as uncharacterized. The record is from RefSeq and is a predicted model, not a curated record. NCBI's taxonomy places the organism in Eukaryota, Metazoa, Chordata, Mammalia, Rodentia, Cricetidae.
UGAGCCUGCCUUGGAGAUCUGAAUGCUGUUUUCCUGGGGACACAGGACUUGGUGAGAUCUGUGCAGCUGGAGUUUAUUUAUUGGUAUGAGGUUAGAUUGGAUUCCAGAUCUGUCUAAGAUCGCCUGCCUCGGAUCAGGUUUGAAGUCCGGCCAAGCCUGAGACCUGACUUGCAAGGAAGACAACGGCCUAGGCAAGAAGAAGGCGAGCCUCAAAGAGUCAGAGGCUGACUAAGAAGAUGGAUGGUUCCCUUAGAUCUGAGAAGAAGAAGCAUUAUGAAAUAACAGACCUCAGACCCCAGGGGCACAAAGGAGGAAAUUACACAAACAGAGCAUGGGCUAUGGGAUUGCCGCAUCAUCAGAAACUGACCGAGC